This 78-nucleotide ribosomal RNA is filed under the name Bacillus licheniformis. Its description in RNAcentral is "partial 16S ribosomal RNA". It matches the Rfam family "Bacterial small subunit ribosomal RNA", at positions 1 to 75 of the family's 1533-position model. Lineage: Bacteria; Bacillati; Bacillota; Bacilli; Caryophanales; Bacillaceae. The record is from RNAcentral.
UAUUUCAUGGAGAGUUUGAUCCUGGCUCAGGACGAACGCUGGCGGCGUGCCUAAUACAUGCAAGUCGAGCGGACCGAC